This is a non-coding RNA of Prunus avium (sweet cherry), 723 nucleotides long. NCBI's taxonomy places the organism in Eukaryota, Viridiplantae, Streptophyta, Magnoliopsida, Rosales, Rosaceae. The record is from RefSeq and is a predicted model, not a curated record.
AGUGGACGGUAUCGCACGCUGCCGAAUGAGGACAAUCGAUCCGAGAAGGCCAGCGGCGGAAUCGCGAGGGCCUAUGAGCGACGACGACUCCACCGGUGCCGGAUGACGUUGUGGGGUUUGGGUUCGCUACGUCGGAGCCUCGCGAGUUGAGCGAGGCAGGCCAUGUCGCGAGUUGAGCCUGGGGAAGUCCAUUCCUUGAAUUAUACCGAACGAAUUCGGAUUCUGAUAUUUUUCUCAGCCAAGCAUUUUCUAUUUCAUAGGCACUGACUUUUUAGAUGUUUAGAUGUGGUUUUGUUUUGUUGAUGAAGAAAGGCAAGAGGUUUCUUGAUUAGCUAUUACAUUUCUUUCCGUUCAUUCAUUUGUUUAGACAUUGUGAUGUUGAUUCUAGACUUAUACAAUAUUUGUUGGACAAUCACAGAGUCGGCAGAAAUAUUUGAUACAUCUGGUAUUUGCAGGUUUUUGGUGAGAAAGCUUUUCAGAAAUUUGGAAAGGGGUUCGUCUACAUGCAUUUUUCAGAUCAACAUCCAGGGAAACACAAGAAGAUGGUUUUGUUCAAGUUUGCCCUACCAGAUGCCAGUAACAUGGCGGAUAUGACUCGUUUGGUGGCUCUGGUACCUUAUUAUAUUGAUUUGAUUGGGCGCUACAAACUAAGUAGUCAGGCUCGAUCAAAAACAGAAGCAAUCAGAUCAAAGGCUGCUCAAGAGGCUUACAAGGAACUCCAAA